Molecule: long non-coding RNA, 673 nt
Organism: Nicotiana tabacum (common tobacco)
Lineage: Eukaryota; Viridiplantae; Streptophyta; Magnoliopsida; Solanales; Solanaceae
Source: RefSeq, a predicted model, not a curated record
CUCUUUUUAAUUUCCCUACUGCCGCCACUGUAGUCCCACCCCCUUCUUCUUCCCCAUUUCUCCUCAUUGUGAUCUUCAUCCAAUCAUCCUCCAUAAUCCAAAAUUUGCACCCAUGAUAGAUCAUUUCUCUAUCACACACAUACACAUAAUCCAAAAUGUUUAAUUUUUUUCAAAAUCUUUUCUAUUUAACAACAUAAAGAGAUUAAAUUUGUAAUGCUGUGCGUUUUAAGAUUCAACACCACUUCUACUUUGGUACAAAUUUGUGCCAAAGAUGAAUAAAAAAUUUUAUUGUGCAACUUCAAGUAAGUAUUUUUUUUCUUUUACAUGUAUUCAUCUCUCAUUCUAUUAUUUCCUUCACUAAUUAAUACAUAAUUUAUAGUUAAAGUUUUAAUAUAUAUUUUUAUCAUGACAUAAAAAAGUAUGUACUUAAUUAUAACUUUUGUUUUUCACGGGUACAAGAACGUGGAAAUUUAUUCAAGAGUAUAUUUAUUAGACGGCUGAUUACAUUAGCAAAUUGAGGAAGCAACAUACGUCCAUCUCUUUUUAAUUUAUCAAUAUUCUUCCAUCUCUAUUAGACUUUCAUGUUGGAUAGAUUUUACUUAAUUUAUGUGUUUUAAUUUAUGAAGUUUGUAAUGAGAUAUUAUCUCAAUAUAGUAUUAAUUGUUUUUAAUUA